This 266-nucleotide ribosomal RNA is filed under the name Syngnathus abaster (black-striped pipefish). RNAcentral describes it as "partial 12S ribosomal RNA". It matches the Rfam family "Bacterial small subunit ribosomal RNA", at positions 853 to 1244 of the family's 1533-position model. The record is from RNAcentral. Lineage: Eukaryota; Metazoa; Chordata; Actinopteri; Syngnathiformes; Syngnathidae.
UAACUCGCGAUCCGCCAGGGAACUACAAGCACUGGCUUGAAACCCAAAGGACUUGGCGGUGCUUUAGACCCACCUAGAGGAGCCUGUUCUAGAACUGAUAACCCCCGUUCAACCUCACCCUGCUUUGCCAUUCCCGCCUAUAUACCGCCGUCGUCAGCUUACCUUGUGAGAGAUUAUAAGUGAGCAAAAUUGGUACAACCCAAAACGUCAGGUCGAGGUGUAGUGUAUAGCAGGGGAAGAAAUGGGCUACAUUUAUCAAUCGAUAA